This 203-nucleotide ribosomal RNA is filed under the name uncultured Pseudomonadota bacterium. RNAcentral's name for it is "uncultured proteobacterium partial 16S ribosomal RNA". It matches the Rfam family "Bacterial small subunit ribosomal RNA", at positions 327 to 522 of the family's 1533-position model. The record is from RNAcentral. Lineage: Bacteria; Pseudomonadati; Pseudomonadota.
CGGUCCAGACUCCUACGGGAGGCAGCAGUGAGGAAUUUUGCACAAUGGGCGAAAGCCUGAUCCAGCCAUACCGCGUGUGUGAAGAAGGCCUUCGGGUUGUAAAGCACUUUAAGCAGGGAGAAAAAGUUGUAAGUUAAUACCUUACAACCGUGAUGUUACCUGCAGAAUAAGCACCGGCUAAUUCCGUGCCAGCAGCCGCGGUA